AACCUUUAGCAUAAACAAGUAUUAAAGGCAACGCCUGCCCAGUGAACAAUUAAACGGCCGCGGUACCCUAACCGUGCAAAGGUAGCGUAAUCACUUGUCUAUUAAUUGUAGACCUGUAUGAAUGGCAUAAUGAGGGCCUAACUGUCUCUUAUAGUAAAUCAAUUAAACUGAUCUCCCAGUCCAAAAGCUGGGAUACCCCCAUAAGACCAGAAGACCCUGUGAAGCUUAAACUAAACUAUUAAACCCUAUAAUAGCUCCUUUCGGUUGGGGCGACCUUGGAAACAAAAAGAACUUCCAAACACAUGACCUCACCUCAUAUAACAUAGGCCAACAAGCCACUAUCAAGACCCAGUAUAGCUGAUAAUUGAACCAAGUUACUCCAGGGAUAACAGCGCUAUCUUCUUCAAGAGCCCAUAUCAAAAAGAAGGUUUACGACCUCGAUGUUGGAUCAGGACAUCCUAAUGGUGCAGCCGCUAUUAAGGGUUCGUUCGUUCAACGAUUAAUAGUCCU
This 510-nucleotide ribosomal RNA is filed under the name Ditypophis vivax. RNAcentral's name for it is "partial 16S ribosomal RNA". It matches the Rfam family "Bacterial large subunit ribosomal RNA", at positions 1816 to 2597 of the family's 2925-position model. Lineage: Eukaryota; Metazoa; Chordata; Lepidosauria; Squamata. The record is from RNAcentral.